CGACCAGACUCCUACGGGAGGCAGCAGUGGGGAAUAUUGCACAAUGGGCGAAAGCCUGAUGCAGCGACGCCGCGUGGGUGAAGGAGCGUUUCGGCGCGUAAAGCCCUAUCGGCAGGGAAGAAGAUGACGGUACCUGACCAAGAAGCCCCGGCUAACUACGUGCCAGCAGCCGCGGUAAUACGUAGGGGGCAAGCGUUGUUCGGAAUGACUGGGCGUAAAGGGUGCGUAGGCGGUGUAGCAAGUUAGAAGUGAAAUACCUAGAGCUUAACUCAGGUGCUGCUUCUAAAACUGCUAUACUUGAGUGCAGUAGAGGAAAGUGGAAUUCCUAGUGUAGCGGUGGAAUGCGUAGAUAUUAGGAGGAACAUCAGUGGCGAAGGCGACUUUCUGGACUGUAACUGACGCUGAGGCACGAAAGUGUGGGGAGCAAACAGGAUUAGAUACCCGUGUAGA
This 450-nucleotide ribosomal RNA is filed under the name uncultured bacterium. RNAcentral's name for it is "partial 16S ribosomal RNA". It matches the Rfam family "Bacterial small subunit ribosomal RNA", at positions 328 to 794 of the family's 1533-position model. The record is from RNAcentral.